UGGUAUAGUCCAGGAGACUCACUGGUGGCCUAGAAAGGAAUAGUUACGUGUUGGUAUAGUCCAGGAGACUCACGGGUGGCCUAGAAAGGAAUAGAUACAUGUUGGUAUAGUCCAGGAGACUCACUGGCGGCCUAGAAAGGAAUAGUUAUGUGUUGGUAUAGUACAGGAGACUCACUGGCGGCCUAGAAAGGAAUAGAUACAUGUUGGUAUAGUCCAGGAGACUCAUGUUGGUAUAGUCCAGGAGACUCACUGGUGGCCUGGACAGG
Molecule: non-coding RNA, 266 nt
Organism: Pelobates cultripes (western spadefoot toad)
Lineage: Eukaryota; Metazoa; Chordata; Amphibia; Anura; Pelobatidae
Source: the annotation of a GenBank genome assembly